UUUUAUUGUUUGAGUAGUUUUUACGAUACACUAAUUUUAAAAGUUUGCCACAAAAGUUGUUUCUUUGACAUUGAUGCAAAUAUACUAAAAAACACUGAUUACUUUACAAAGUUCCUAAAAUCAAUGUUACUAGCACUUCAGUAAACAUUACAGAAUAUUUCAAAUGUGAGAAUCGUAUGGUCCGUCAGUAAUCGUCUACAGGACACUAUAUGGUACCUUUGGGAUACUAUUCUUUAAGCAAAUACAAACAAAUAUAUCUUUAAGUUUCACGUUUUCGAUUUCUAUGCGAUAGUAUUAUCAAGUGCAAUAUUCAAGUGUCGUUUACUAGAUAUAACCUUCAACUUUUAGUGUCACCCUCUACCCUCGUUCACGAGCCGUUAUUAAACUGAUUAAACGAGGCGUUGACCGCUAAAAUCAGUCAUCUAUUCAUUUGACCAUGACGUUGUUAUUGUAAUUAUGAAGGAUAAAUAUUGACAUGGGUAUCACAUCUACCCGUCUUGCCUGUAGUCGUUAUAUUCCAGUCACAGACUCGUCAAAAGGAAAAUAGAACAACACCUCGACAUGACACGUGAUUAUCGUCAGAGAUUUUCCACGCCAACAGGUGGCCCGUAGACAUAAUUGCGACGUGGUCGACCCUUUAUGGUUAUGCGUACGUUCCAUUUAUUCACAUGUGCUUAUGAUGAAUUUUGACGUGUAAUAUCUCAUAGGAAAACACAAAACGAAUUUCGAAACAGAACGGUAUUGUGUUGACUAACGUCACAGGGAGAGCCUCAAGCCCUAGUGAAAAACGUCCCAAGACAUUGUUGAUGUCAUAAUAGAAGUUCAAAUUGAAUUACUUUUUGUAUAAGUAUCAACCGGGUCAAGAGUAGUCACGUAUUACAUUUUAUUCGAGUGUUCUUAACAAUAGUUUUGUUCUAUGUAUUUAUAGCCCAAACUAAAUAUAGCUGCUAAACUAAAUUAUUGACAUUCAAUAUUCACUGAAAGCUUAGAUUUUGUAAGGUGUAGUUUGUUAGUCUCGAGUUUGUAGUAUUUGAAAUACAAAUAGCUACAAAACCACAGGAAUAUAAUAAUAUACAGUUACUUGUCUAACACGUUGAAUAUUAGCUUUUAUAAAAUGAACAGUUUGAUUUUUAGAAACUAAAUUAAAAAUGAAUUUAUUAUUUUUCCCAUAUCCCCUACCCACUC
Molecule: long non-coding RNA, 1185 nt
Organism: Daktulosphaira vitifoliae (grape phylloxera)
Lineage: Eukaryota; Metazoa; Arthropoda; Insecta; Hemiptera; Phylloxeridae
Exons: 3
Source: RefSeq, a predicted model, not a curated record